RNAcentral lists this long non-coding RNA (249 nucleotides) under Lathyrus oleraceus (garden pea). RNAcentral describes it as "Pisum sativum (pea) long non-coding RNA (PSAT_LNC016596)". The record is from RNAcentral. Lineage: Eukaryota; Viridiplantae; Streptophyta; Magnoliopsida; Fabales; Fabaceae.
GCAAGGAAGGAGAGAGACAUUAGAGAGAUACUUGGAGAGUAGAAGAUAAAUGUUAAAUGUGAGUCACUCUUGGCAUGUGAAUUGAUUUUGGUGGGAAGGGCUGAAAAUAAUUUUGUUUGAGGAUGUAAUUAGAGGUUUAGUAAUGAUUUAUUUGAGAUAUUUAUUAUUAUCUAUAUAUUCAAAUGGUAAUGUAAACUAAAAAAAACUUGGAAGGAUUAUUUGAUAAAAUCAUACAAUUUUAUUUUAAAG